AAAAUUGAGAAAAUGCAGACAAAACAGUAAAAGGAGAUCAUAAAGACAGAGUUGAAGGGGGAGAGAAACCAAAGGAAAAGGAAACCCUCCUUGGUGGCUGAGACGGAGAGGAAUUAACAGAGUCGCGGACUUUUUUUGUUUGAAUCUGUAUUUAUUUCGUUUGAACAGAUCCAAUGGCUGAUGAACAAAUAGAUUAUGAGGAUGAGGAAUAUGGUGGAGCUCCGAAGACGCAAUAUCAGGGAAGUGGUGCCAUACCUGCACUUGCAGAGGAAGAGAUGGGGGAAGAUGACGAGUACGAUGAUCUCUACAAUGAUGUGAAUAUUGGAGAGAACUUCCUACAGAUGCACCGAUCUGAGGUUCCACCACCACCUGCUAGUGUGGGUAAGGGAGGGUUCCAAGCUCAGAAUGUUAAUGGUUCAAGAGUUGAAACUAGUGGUUCACAAGGACUAAAUGAUCCCGGGGUUGCCAUUGAAGGGAAAUAUUCUAAUGCUGGGACACAUUUUGAUGAGCAGAAAGAAUCUUCCAUGGGUGUUAAGGGGCCAGAAACGCGACCUGUUGGUUACCCAGAUGGUUCUUCUGUUGCGCAAAAAGGAAGGGUUAUGGAGAUGACCCGUGAUUCUGAAGGCCAAAAUAUGGGGUUCCAAGGAUUGACAUCAGUGCCCUCCAAUAUUGGGACUGAUCCUUCUGAUAUGAGUAGAAAAAUUGCCAGUGAGCCUGCAACUUUGCCAAACUCUAGCGCCAGUGGUCCUCGAGUCAUUCAGCAGUUGCCAGCUAAUCAAAUGAGUAUGAAUAUGGACGUCAAUCAUCCUGUGAUGAAUGAAAAUCAAAUCCAUCCACCAAUAGAUAAUGGUCCAACCAUGCUGUUUGUGGGAGAAUUACAUUGGUGGACAACUGAUGCAGAGCUUGAGAGCGUUUUAUCUCAGUAUGGAAGGGUCAAGGAGAUAAAGUUUUUUGAUGAAAGAGCUAGUGGAAAAUCUAAGGGGUACUGUCAAGUUGAAUUUUAUGAUGCAGCAGCUGCGGCUGCAUGCAAAGAGGGAAUGAAUGGGCAUGUUUUAAAUGGUCGUGCUUGUGUUGUGGCCUUUGCUUCUCCACAAACAUUAAAGCAGAUGGGGGCUUCUUACAUGAACAAAAACCAGAAUCAACCUCAGUCACAAAAUCAGGGAAGAAGGCCUAUGAAUGAUGGUGCGGGCAGAGGUGGUAAUAUGAAUUAUCAAGGGGGAGAUGCGGGGAGGAAUUAUGGAAGAGGUGGGUGGGGACGAGGUGGGCAAGGAGUUCUCAAUAGAGGGCCUGGGGGUGGAGGACCAAUGAGGGGCAGAGGAACCAUGGGUGCCAAGAACAUGGUUGGAGGUACUGGCGGAUUAGGAAGCGGUGCCAAUGGAGGAGGCUAUGGACAAGGCAUAGCAGGUCCUGCUUUUGGUGGACCUGCUGGUGGUAUGAUGCCUCCACAGGGUAUGAUGGGAGCUGGAUUUGAUCCAACAUAUAUGGCUCGUGGGGCUGGUUACGGAGGAUUUGCAGGUCCCGGUUUUCCUGGCAUGCUUCCUUCAUUUCCAGCUGUUAAUACAAUGGGAUUUGCUGGGGUGGCUCCUCAUGUCAACCCAGCAUUCUUUGGUCGGGGAAUGGCACCUAAUGGUAUGGGAAUGAUGGGCCCAGGAAUGGAUGGGCCUAAUGCUGGAAUGUGGUCUGACACUAGCAUGGGUGGAUGGGGAGAAGAGCCUGGCCGAAGAACAAGGGAGUCAAGUUAUGGUGGUGAAGAUGGGGCUUCUGAAUAUGGCUAUGGAGAGGUCAAUCAUGAAAAAGGAGCACGGUCAAGUGCUGUUUCUAGGGAAAAGGAACGGGUUUCUGAGCGUGAUUGGUCGGGGAAUUCUGAUAGGAGGCAUCGUGACGAGAGGGAGCAUGACUGGGACAAAUCUGAAAGAGAGCACAGGGAACAUAGGUACCGGGACGAAAAAGAUAGUUACCGAGAUCAUCGACAAAGAGGGCGUGACGCUGGUUAUGAGGAUGACUGGGAUAGAGGGCAAUCCUCUUCAAGAUCUCAAAGCAGGUCCCGAGCAGUGCCUGAAGAAGAUUACAGGUCUCGAUCAAGGGAUGCAGAUUAUGGCAAGAGGAGGCGCCUACCAUCAGAAUGACAUAACCAUUCUGUUCAUCUUUCUUGGACAGGUUUACAAGGCCUCAUCAUUUAUAUGUGCACUCUUGGUUCCAUUGGCCUUAUAUGCUGCAUACCAUUGUUUGCACUGGCUGCUUUGACCCGAAAUGCAGGGGGUGACUUCUUGAGGGAAGAAGGAGUGGAGUGGGCAACUCUAUGUUUUCAUGAUUGAAUCUAUCUGUAUUAGUUGCCUGGAGGAAGAAGUGUUAGAUGAGCUGCCUCCACUGGAUCUCUUCCUUAAUGGUUUAGAUCUGCCAAGUUUGCAAAAGAAGCCUUGACCAUUGUGGCUUUCACCUUUUUCCCACAAGCUCCAAUUAAGAAUCUGUAAAUAAUGGUCUUGUUAGAAUAUGUCUAGAAAGAUUUGUAUUCGUGGAGCUGUAAAAUAAGGAAGAGAUGUCAGUGUUAAGUUUUGGCAUAUAAACAUGAUUAUUUCAUGUAAACGAAUAGGUUUAUUAGGUCCAAAUCAUGUAAUGGCCUGCUCCAUUGUUUCUUUGAUCAUUUUCUGGUUAAAAAGCUUUGUAUCAAUUGUGAGGCCUAUAUUUGUGGUUUUGUACAUAUUCAAUGUCUUGUAAUUCAUCUUGCUGUAUCUCUGUAUAAGUUAGAUGUGACAGAGAUGAGUGAAUAAUACUUUGUAAUGAUGGGUAGAUGUCCCCACUGUAUUUUGGUCACUGUAAUGCUUAUAAAACCCAAUUUCUAAGGUCGUACUCCCUGAAAAGCUGAAGUGAUUUCAUAAGUUUCAUCCUCAUGAUGUUUGAGGUGGUGUGCCUCAGCCCUCAGGUUUAGGAGCUAUAAGCAUGCUGCAAUAUUGUGGAUGUGGAGGGACCCAACAAAAUGCUUUUUGUGUAUUCUCUCUUCCUCUUUUUUGAGGAUCAAGUAUAGGUUCCUCAUGUAUUGUUGUUCUUGAUGAGAUUUUGUUGUUCAAGUCAGUUUUUCUUGUUUGUACAUUGGGAUGUAGCUUUUCUUAUGCAAUGUACCAUUUUAGUCUUCAGUAUU
Molecule: RNA transcript, 3136 nt
Organism: Manihot esculenta (cassava)
Lineage: Eukaryota; Viridiplantae; Streptophyta; Magnoliopsida; Malpighiales; Euphorbiaceae
Gene name: cleavage and polyadenylation specificity factor subunit 6
Exons: 3
Source: RefSeq, a predicted model, not a curated record